This 478-nucleotide ribosomal RNA is filed under the name uncultured bacterium. Its description in RNAcentral is "partial 16S ribosomal RNA". It matches the Rfam family "Bacterial small subunit ribosomal RNA", at positions 28 to 523 of the family's 1533-position model. The record is from RNAcentral.
GACGAACGCUGGCGGCGUGCUUAACACAUGCAAGUCGAACGGUAAGGCCCUUCGGGGUACACGAGUGGCGAACGGGUGAGUAACACGUGGGUGAUCUGCCCUGCACUUCGGGAUAAGCCUGGGAAACUGGGUCUAAUACCGGAUAGGACUCCUGCCUGCAUGGGUGGGGGUGGAAAGCUUUUGUGGUGUGGGAUGGGCCCGCGGCCUAUCAGCUUGUUGGUGGGGUGAUGGCCUACCAAGGCGACGACGGGUAGCCGGCCUGAGAGGGGGACCGGCCACACUGGGACUGAGAUACGGCCCAGACUCCUACGGGAGGCAGCAGUGGGGAAUAUUGCACAAUGGGCGCAAGCCUGAUGCAGCGACGCCGCGUGAGGGAUGACGGCCUUCGGGUUGUAAACCUCUUUCAGCACAGACGAAGCGCAAGUGACGGUAUGUGCAGAAGAAGGACCGGCCAACUACGUGCCAGCAGCCGCCGCAG